This 575-nucleotide ribosomal RNA is filed under the name uncultured crenarchaeote. Its description in RNAcentral is "bacterial SSU rRNA". It matches the Rfam family "Archaeal small subunit ribosomal RNA", at positions 156 to 738 of the family's 1478-position model. Lineage: Archaea; Thermoproteati; Thermoproteota. The record is from RNAcentral.
GUCAUUUCUUCUGGAAUGGGUAAUGACCCAAAUCUAUAUGGCCCCUGGAUUGGACUGCGGCCGAUCAGGCUGUUGGUGAGGUAAUGGCCCACCAAACCUGUAACCGGUACGGGCUCUGAGAGGAGGAGCCCGGAGAUGGGCACUGAGACAAGGGCCCAGGCCCUAUGGGGCGCAGCAGGCGCGAAACCUCUGCAAUAGGCGAAAGCUUGACAGGGUUACUCUGAGUGAUUUCCGUUAAGGAGAUCUUUUGGCACCUCUAAAAAUGGUGCAGAAUAAGGGGUGGGCAAGUCUGGUGUCAGCCGCCGCGGUAAUACCAGCACCCCGAGUGGUCGGGACGUUUAUUGGGCCUAAAGCAUCCGUAGCCGGUUCUACAAGUCUUCCGUUAAAUCCACCUGCUUAACAGAUGGGCUGCGGAAGAUACUAUAGAGCUAGGAGGCGGGAGAGGCAAGCGGUACUCGAUGGGUAGGGGUAAAAUCCGUUGAUCCAUUGAAGACCACCAGUGGCGAAGGCGGCUUGCCAGAACGCGCUCGACGGUGAGGGAUGAAAGCUGGGGGAGCAAACCGGAUUAGAUACCC